UACGUAGGGUGCAAGCGUUAAUCGGAAUUACUGGGCGUAAAGCGUGCGCAGGCGGUUAUGUAAGACAGUUGUGAAAUCCCCGCGCUCAACCUGGGAACUGCAUCUGUGACUGCAUAGCUAGAGUACGGUAGAGGGGGAUGGAAUUCCGCGUGUAGCAGUGAAAUGCGUAGAUAUGCGGAGGAACACCGAUGGCGAAGGCAAUCCCCUGGACCUGUACUGACGCUCAUGCACGAAAGCGUGGGGAGCAAACAGG
RNAcentral lists this ribosomal RNA (253 nucleotides) under uncultured bacterium. RNAcentral's name for it is "partial 16S ribosomal RNA". It matches the Rfam family "Bacterial small subunit ribosomal RNA", at positions 524 to 776 of the family's 1533-position model. The record is from RNAcentral.